AGCGGGGUUAUUUUCUAUCUCGUUGAUAACUCUCUUCACCGUGAUCUUACUGUCAAAAAGCAAAUUUUGACACUAUUCGUAUUGUGUAUGUUCGGUUGGGGUCGAAUAAUGACGUCAUAGUUGGUAUGGGCUUCAAUACCCACCGGCCGCCAUCUUGUUAAAAUUUUGUAUGCGAAUAUUUUAUCGAAACCCGAGAUUGGUAUUUUGUAUCGGAUAGUUGGAAUCAUAAGUACUAAUUUGGGUUGGCCAACCGUCUUGUCUUGGGCAACUAGUAAAUAGUAGCUUUUAAACCAUAGAGUCACCAUAGAAUGUAGAAAAUAACGUUUUUUUUUAAUUGUAACGCUGAAGUCUUCUUGUUCUUAUGAUCUUGAACAAAAUAAUAUUUCUUUGAUGUUUGUUUUGUGAAUCUUGCAAAUUUUUGGUCUUCUAUAAUUAGUAAAUAGGGACUCUGGUUAUGCUCUACGGCCAUGGAUGUUAACACCUAUCCUCUAUGCAGCUGUAGGAUCCCCAGAAGAACACUACACUGAUCUACAUUGCCGUGUCAGAAAUACUGUGGAGCGGUGCAUUGGGGCCCUUAAAACACGCUGGAGAUGUUUGCUGGCACACCGUGUGCUUCACUAUGAGCCCACCAAAGCUGCGAAAAUAGUAAAUGACUGCUGUGUACUACACAAUAUAGCAAAUGCACACAAUAUACCAGUGACGACAACUUGCCUGCUGCUGGUAACAUUCGGGUGCAGCAUAUUGGUAACGUGGCUUAUGGUGCUGCUGAUGCAGAUGCAGGGCGCAUGAGGGCCAACC
Plutella xylostella (diamondback moth) is the source of this 798-nucleotide long non-coding RNA. RefSeq lists it as uncharacterized. The record is from RefSeq and is a predicted model, not a curated record. Lineage: Eukaryota; Metazoa; Arthropoda; Insecta; Lepidoptera; Plutellidae.